GACGUAGGGUCCAAGCGUUGUCCGGAUUUACUGGGCGUAAAGAGCGCGUAGGCGGUCUGUUAAGGGUAGAGUGAAAUCUCCAGGGCUCAACCCGGAAACUGCUCUGCAUACUGGCAGACUGGAGUGAUGCAGAGGUUUGUGGAAUUCCUGGUGUAACGGUGAAAUGUGUUGAUAUCAGGAGGAACACCCAUGGCGAAGGCAGCAAACUGGGCAUUAACUGACGCUGAGGCGCGAAAGCGUGGGUAGCAAACAGG
This 254-nucleotide ribosomal RNA is filed under the name uncultured bacterium. RNAcentral describes it as "partial 16S ribosomal RNA". It matches the Rfam family "Bacterial small subunit ribosomal RNA", at positions 524 to 776 of the family's 1533-position model. The record is from RNAcentral.